GACAGAGGGGGCAAGCGUUGCUCGGAAUCACUGGGCUUAAAGGGCGCGUAGGCGGGCUCCCAAGUCGGUGGUGAAAUCUUCCGGCCCAACCGGAAAAGUGCCGCCAAUACUGGGAGCCUCGAGGGAGGUAGGGGUCGAGGGAACUCUAGGUGGAGCGGUGAAAUGCGUAGAUAUCUGGAGGAACGCCGGUGGCGAAAGCGCUCGACUGGACCUCUUCUGACGCUGAGGCGCGAAAGCCAGGGGAGCAAACGGG
Molecule: ribosomal RNA, 253 nt
Filed under: uncultured bacterium
Lineage: Bacteria
Description: partial 16S ribosomal RNA
Rfam family: Bacterial small subunit ribosomal RNA
Source: RNAcentral